Hydra vulgaris (swiftwater hydra) is the source of this 1783-nucleotide non-coding RNA. Lineage: Eukaryota; Metazoa; Cnidaria; Hydrozoa; Anthoathecata; Hydridae. The record is from RefSeq and is a predicted model, not a curated record.
UUGAGCCUCUUUCCCAUUGUCGUAAAGUUGCAUCUCUUUCUCUUUUCUACAAAUUCUAUCAUGGUGGCUGCUCAAAAGAGUUUUUAUCUCUAGUUCCAUUAAUAAAAACUCAUUCUCGCUUGACUCUUUAUUAUGCUAAGUCUCAUUCAUUAGUUAUUAAAUUUUAUUAAAUAUAAUAAAUGUAAAUAAAUAAUGUUUAUUGAGUCAAUAUACUAAAAACAAUAAAGAUAAAAUUGAGGAAGAUAAAAUUAUCAAAGAAGUUUUUAUACAGGACUGCUUCAACCGUGUUAACCUGUUAACCGUGUUAAUAUACCAAAACAAAAAUUAAUUCAGUAAAUUUCAGUAUUUAUUGUCCUAUUUAAAUCAAAAAUUAAAUAAGAAUUAAGAUAUUGCCAUUAAAGUUAAAUUUAGUAACUUAAACAAUGAAUUUUUGAAUAUUUCCCAAAAAAAACCAAAAAAAUGGACCCCUAUGUUUUUUUUCCAAAAAAACGACCAAAAAAACCAAAAAAACAAGAACCAAAAAAACGCGUCACAUCUCUAGUUGGACUAAAAGUCAUUGGACUUCAAAUGGAACAGCAAUUAGACAAUUUCAACAGGUUUCAAAACCUACAAAGUCUCCAUAUAUUAUGGAUUUAAUAUCUAAAGCUGAACCAGUGCUUCCAGAAGAGCAGCUUCUUCUUGAAGUUGAGGUUAUAUUUUUAGUUUAUUUAUUAUUUUAAUUUGGACAGCAAUAUGAUUAGCAAUAUUUUAAAUAAGUAAGUGAUUGGAGUUGAUAUUUGACCGGGGCCAGGUUUGAUAAAACAUAGCCAGAGCUGCAUUUAUAUUGAUAAAUCCUAUAAGUAUAUUAUUUUUAGGUAAAAUUUAUGUUGAGCUCCAAAAAACUUCAGGGACGAAGGAGGGAGCAGGAGCUUGGAGAGGACAUUUGAGCUUGAAAAAGAUCUCUCCUCUAAUACAGCUUAAGGACUCUCAGUGGCUGGUAAUGGCUAGUAACCCCUGUAAAUUUUGUUUGUUUAGUUGAGGCAGGGUUUGUAAAAAGCUCUAUUUUUAGCAGAGGCCCGGUCACUUACUACUUCAAAUAUUUUACUAAUUAUUAUACCCUUUUUUUUUUACUAAUUUUUUUUUCUACAAUCAAAAAUACAUUACAAAUAAAGUUGUUUUAUGUAUAAUAUAUAAAGAAAUUUUAUAAAGUGUGUUAUACAAACCUUAGCACCAUGCAUCAUAGCAUGUUAUUUUAUACAAUUUUAUAAUAAAUAAUUUUUAGUUGGCCAAUUGAUUAUGUGCACCAUUAUUGUUUUAGAAUUUACGGUAUUUUAAUUUUUAUAUUUUAUAGAAUGAACAACUAAAAUCAAAACCAUCUAUCAAUAUUCUUGCGAUUUUGAAUAGAAAUCUUUUUCAACCGAAAAUAUAUGUUUAAUAUUUGCGGAGUUUAAACGCCUUUACCCACACUAUAGUUUUAUAGAAGAAUCAUGUUCAUUUUUUAUUACUAAAGCUUUUGCAGGAUCUUCUAAUCACCUUGAAAGUUUGCUUGUUUUACAAUGUAAAUUAGGUUCCAAAAAAGCAAAGGAUUUGUUGUUUAAGAAAUCUGAAUCUGACGAUCUGGUCGAUGAGUUGAAGAUACCUGCAAAGUACGGUCCACAAGUUCUUUUCAACUCAACACAAUAUGGCGUUCACAGUAGAUCAGGAUGCGAAAUGAUUAGCACAGAUUUACGGAAAAUCAAAGAGGUUUUAUGCGUUAUUGUUAGCAUUUACUAUUUGUUAGAUCUAUCGUAUCCAUCUUCUUUUU